UUUUGACAAAAUAUAGGAAGCGUAUUGGUUAGCAUGUACAUGCAGACAAUGUUUCUCUCCAAAGCUUUUAAUUAGUUCUUCCCCUUCAUCUACUGGUUGGGCUUGUAGUAUUAAACAUCAGGACUUGACACCAGUGAUCACAGAACCAUAGAAUGGCUUGGGUUGGAAGGGACCUCAAGAAUCAUCAAAUGAUGAGAAAAGCGAUUUCAGGAACACUGUUCUUCAGGCCAUGUGCUCCUCGUUCAGCCUUAUUUCAGUUCUCAGUGGACUGAGUGGAUGUUGAUUUCUGUAGUAUGACUAUAGUCAUAAAACUGCAAUCUUGAGUCAGACCUUGUGAUUUCAGGUAAGAAUUAUUUUAGCUUUUAACAUAGGAACUGUUCAACUGUGAGUUGCUCACAGUUAUACAUAUCUUAUUUCCAGAUAGUAAGCAGUAAUAUUUGGCAAAAAUGAAGCUAAAUUUGUUUUCUCCAUACCAGAAAGAACCCAGAGAGUUGGUGGUGCAAAGCCUGUACACUGCUGUAGGACAUUGAUUUUAGACGCUGUUGCCAAUAAACAAAAUGAAGCAUUUUGGACUGGCAUAGAAAUCUGUCCUAGAGCCAUGGAAUGGUAUGGUGGAGUGUGGAGGGAACCCAGAACAGUGGGAAGUCAGGAGCACCUGUGAAAAUACUCCAAAAACAUUAUCAUUUCGGGUGAUGAGCAGGGACCAAGUUGGUGACCCUGCACAUAGCAGGGGUGUUGAAACUAGAUGAUCAUUGUGAUCCUUUUCAACCCAGGCCAUUCUAUGAUUCUAUGAUCAUAUAUGAAUAUCUCAAACGGGAAGGGACCCACAAGGAUCAUCGAGUCCAACCCCUCACUCCACAACAGACCACCCAAAUGCAGACAGUCCUCCAGCUGCAGCAGCUCGGGGCCGUGCCCACUGCUCCUGGAAGCCCAUUCCAUGCCACCGCCCUGGCGCAGACCCUUUCCCUAAGCCCCAGCUGCCCUCCCCUGGCACAGCUCCAUGCCGUUCCCUCGGGCCCUGUCGCUGUCCCCAGGCAGCACAGCUCAGCGCUGCCCUCCGCUCCCUGUGAGGAGCUGCAGCCGCCAGGAGUGCCGCCCUCAAGCUGCUCUGCUCCGGGCUGAGCACACCGAGGGGCCUCAGCCGCUCCUCAAACACUGCGCCCCCAGAUCCUUCCCCAUCUCUGCAGCCCUCCUUUGGGCACUCUCUAAUAGCAUCUUACGUAGUGGCACCCACACCUGCACCCAGCGCUGGAGGUGAGGCCGCACAGCGCAGAGCAGAGCGGCACAGCCGCUUCCCUCGCCUGGCAGUGCUGGGCCUGACGCCCCCCAGCUACGGUUGACCUUCUGACUGCCAGGGCGCACUGCCGGCUCAGAUUCAGCUUGCCAUCAAACCAGAUCCCUUUUUGCCAGGCUGCGCUCCAGCCCCUCACCACCAAUGUCUGCACACACAGCCAGGGGCACCCCAUCCCAGGUGCAGAACCCAGCGCUAGCUCUUCUCUGUGCAGAUGGAGACCACCCUCAUCUUGUCCAGAUCUCGGUGCAAGGCUUCUCUACCCUCAAGGAGCUGAAAACUCCUCCCAGCUUAGCAUCAUUCACAAAUUGAUUGAUACUAUCUCCAGAUCUUUAUUGGAGUCAACAGUAAAAACAAUAAGGAGUAAUAGCCUUAAAAUGGAGCCCCGCAGAAUCCCAGUGGUGACAAAUAGGGCAACUGUCAGGACAAAGAAACCAAUCACCCAAUACAGCCGUGUUUUUGUUGCCAAGGGACAUUCUUAAGGACACAUUGCCAUGGCUUUAUGCUGUCAUGAGCCACCUUCCCGCCAACAGCUAUAAAUAUGGGAAACCUGACAACAGAACACCAGCUGUGGUGCAAGGCAGCCAGCCAAUAAAGGCAGGCAGGAACUCCA
Long non-coding RNA from Phasianus colchicus (ring-necked pheasant), 1904 nucleotides. Lineage: Eukaryota; Metazoa; Chordata; Aves; Galliformes; Phasianidae. The record is from Ensembl.